Molecule: ribosomal RNA, 138 nt
Filed under: uncultured eukaryote
Lineage: Eukaryota
Description: partial 18S ribosomal RNA
Rfam family: Eukaryotic small subunit ribosomal RNA
Source: RNAcentral
UGGUGGAGCGUUUUGUCUGGUUAAUUCCGAUAACGAACGAGACUCUAGCCUAUUAAAUAGUUCGCCGAUCAUGUUACGUCGGCGUCAACUUCUUAGAGGGACAAGUGGCGUUUAGCCACGCGAGAUUGAGCAAUAACA